Molecule: small nuclear RNA, 26 nt
Filed under: Arabidopsis thaliana (thale cress)
Lineage: Eukaryota; Viridiplantae; Streptophyta; Magnoliopsida; Brassicales; Brassicaceae
Description: snRNA_14082
Source: RNAcentral
AGCUAGAGGUGUCAGAAAAGUUACCA